GACGAACGCUGGCGGCGUGCUUAACACAUGCAAGUCGAACGGAAAGGCCCUUCUUUUUUGGUCUUCUCGAUUGCCGAAAGGGUGCGUAACACGUGAGUAACCUGCCCUUCACUUUCGUAUAACUUCAGGUAACUUUGGCUACUACCUGAUAGGAUCUCCCUCUGCAUUGUGGGCGUUGGAACUUUUCGGCUGUUGGGGAUUGACUCGCGGCUUAUCAGCUUGUUGGUGGAGUAGUUGCUUACCCAGGCUUUGCAGGGUAGCCGGCCUGGGAGGGUGACCGGCGACAUGGGGACUGAGAGACGGACCAGACGCGUACGGGAGGCAGCAGGGGGGAAUAUUGCACAAUGGGCGGAAGCCGGAUGCAGAAACGCCGCGGGCGGGAUGACGGCCUGCGGGGUGUAAACAGCUGUAGCCUGUGACGAAGCGUGAGUGACGGUAAUGAGUAAAGAAGCACCGGCUAACUACGUG
This 468-nucleotide ribosomal RNA is filed under the name uncultured bacterium. Its description in RNAcentral is "partial 16S ribosomal RNA". It matches the Rfam family "Bacterial small subunit ribosomal RNA", at positions 28 to 507 of the family's 1533-position model. The record is from RNAcentral.